UUUUGUAGAGGUAGACAAGUUUACAAGAUACAUUUAUUAUUUUAAGGAAAAAACAUUUUAAAAACAAUAUAUAACUAUAUAUAACUAACUGUACAUUAUAUGUAUAUAUUUUCAUUUUAGUAAUAAUUACAAGUUUAUUACAGGCCAAUCCAUCUAUAGACAAUACAUCUUACUGGCAUUAGCAAGGGGUCACACCUCGGGUUGCAAAAUUCAGUUAACCAGGGAAUUUAUUGAAAGUUUUCCCGAAAUCCCAGUUGUAGGACCCCGAUCACAGACACUGAGCAGUACAUCAGGUUUCAAUUGUCACAGCGAGUCUCUUAAAAUUGAGAGUGAAUAUUUUGUAAUUAUUUGUCAUAAUGCACAGACACCAGCCCAAGAACCACCAUCCAGUCAUGUGAAAUGUUUUAUCCUCAGGCCAUAGAAGGAAGCUUGGUGUAUAUCCUGUCAAUUUACUUUGCAUGACCAGGGAUGGACAGCUUUGGUCUAGGGACCAAGGCCCCGUUUGAAAUGAAAUAUUUUCCUUAAAGUAAUCACUGAUAAACUAACUGAUUAGCGACACUGCAUCAGCAAGGAUUAUAUCACAUAGCCUUCACCUAUCAAGUCUUGUCAGGGAUUACUAAGAAGGAGUAAAGGUUAAAUAAAAAAAUUAAGGAAAGGCUGCAUCUGAAAGUAUUUGAUCAGGGCCCAAAAUUAGCAGACAAGAGAACACAGAGGCCUUGAAUUACUCAGACAUGACUAAUCCAUAUCAAGCGGCAGGGGUACUGUGGACCAAACAGCCCCAAGCAGUCAAACAUGGCAUAACUGAUUGAUACAUGCUCAUGAGAUUAAAUUCCAGACAUAUUCAAUUUGUUCCAGUCACAAAUACAUAAGAAUCAUGUUUUUGAGGUUAACAAAAACACCUGUUCAACAUAGACAUACUAGGUACAGUUGAAGUCGGAAGUUUACGUACACCUUAGCCAAAUACAUUUAAACUCAGAUGUUCACAAUUCCUGACAUUGAAUCCUAGUAAAAAUUCCCUGGUUUUAGGUCAGUUAGGAUCACCACUUUAUUUUAAGAAUGUGAAAUGUCAUAAAAAUAGUAGAGAGAAUUAUUUAUUUCAGCUUUUAUUUCUUUCAUCACAUUCCCAAUGGGUCAGAAGUUUACAUACUCAAUUAGUAUUUGGUAGCAUUGCCUUUAAAUUUGGGAACUUGGGUCAAAACGUUUUGGGUAGCCUUCCACAAGCUUCCCACAAUAAGUUGGGUGAAUUUUGGCCCACUCCUCCUGACAGAGCUGCCACAACUUUUUUUGCCACAACUUUGGAAGUAUGCUUGGGGUCAUUGUCCACUUGGCAGGCCCAUUUGUUGCUUCAAUAUAUCCACAUAAUUUUCCAUUCUCAUGAUGCCAUCUAUUUUGUGAAGUGCACCUGUCCCUCCUGCAGCAAAGCACACCCACAACAUGAUGCUGCCACCCCAUGCUUCACGGUUGGGAUGGUGUUCUUCGGCUUGCAAGCAUCCCAAACCUCCCCUUUUAGGACUUGUUCUACUGUGGAUAUAGAUACAUUUGUACCGGUUUCCUCCAGCAUCUUCACAUGGUCCUUUGCUUCUGUUCUGGGAUUGAUUUGCACUUUUCCCACCUUCCUGAGCGGUAUGAUGGCUGCGUGGUCCAAUAGUGUUUAUAAUUGCAUAGUAUUGUUUGUACAGAUGAACGUGGUACUCCCAAGGAUGAACCAGACUUGUGGAGGUCUACAUUUUUUAUUUAUGAGGUCUUGGCUGAUUUCUUUUGAUUUUCCCAUGCUGUCAAGAAAAGAGGCAUUGAGUUUGAAGGUAGGACUUGAAAUACAUCCAAAGGUACACUUCCACUUGACUCAAAUUAUGUCAAGUAGCCUAUCAGAAGCUUCUAAAGCCAUGACAUUAUUUUCUGGAAUUUUCAAAGCUGUUUAAAGGUACAGUCAACUUAAUGUAUGUAAACUUCUGACCCACUGGAAUUAUGAUACAGUGAAUUAUAAGUGAAAUAAUAUGUCUGUAAACAAUUGUUGGAAAACUAUAGUUUGUUAACAAGAAAUUUGUGGAGUGGUUGAAAAACUAAUUUUAAUGACCCCAACCUAAGUGUAUGUAAACUUCCGACUUCAACUGUAUAGGCUACAUCCCAUUGAGAAAUCCAUUUCUGAAAUGUAAGCUAUGAUUUGAGUUGGGGGGCACAGCCUCAUCUGUGAUUAGCUAAAUCCUCAAAAUGGUAAUCCAUCAUUUACUGCGUUUAUGUUGUCUAAGAUUAUAACUGUCUCCUAUGGAAAUGAUCUGCUUGUCAUGUGGUAAAUAACACCAGCAAGACAAGAACAUCUUGUUCCUUUCAACAGCAACAUUUAUCUAAGAGAUAGAAUACAAUCGAGUGUUGAUUUUCUGCAGCUGCAUAACACUUCAGAAUCUACUCACAAUUAUAUCAAUUCAAACGGACUACAACAGAGGUAUGUAAAAAGGCAGUUUACACAUGUGGAACUAGUGACUAUUUGCUGAAAACAACCAGCAUUCUGGGUCUUGGUGAGACUGAGGAUUCCGUGACAACAUACAUGAAACUUGAUCAAGCAACAGUCUCAUGUUCACUCUGUGGCAACUUCAUAAUCUAGCAUCAUCAUCAUGCACCCUUUUUGCAAAGAAAAACAGGCAAAUGCACUAUACACCAUGAUGGCUACUGUUCAACAGUCCCAUCUAUCCUAUUGUGGAAUACCAGUGUAAAAGGACUCAAUGAGAUUUAUAUUUAUUUCAGUGUUGAUCUAACUUUACUGGUUUAUUCAAGGAGUAAUCAUCUCCAUGGGAUUGCUAAUAAAAUUCAUUUGUUCACAGAUAUUUCAUACACACCAAUACAAACUUAACACCACAGUAUGCUCAUCAGCUUUGCUUUGUUUUGUUUUUCCUGUAGUGGACGGUUCCUUCUGAUAUACCUGGAUGGCAGAGGAGGCUGGUGGGAGGAGCUAUAGGAGGACGGGCUCAUGGCUGGAAUGGAAUAAAUAGAACGGAGUCAAACAUGUGGUUUUGUAUGGGUUUCAUACCAUUCCAUUAAUUCUAUUCCAGUCUUUACAAUGAGCCCGUCCUCCUAUAGCUCCUCCCACCAGCCUCUGGUGAAUGGAGAUUUGUGGAGUCGCAGGUUUAGGCUUCUUAUAUAAGCCCGAAAGGGCAAAGUCACAGGUGUUGUACUUUAAGGCAUUACAGGGAAGGACAGAGGUUCCAAUACGGAAGGGGAUCUACAUUUGCAUGAGGGUGUGGCUCCCUCUGAAAUAGUUCUAGAACUAGAACUGUUCUAGGACAGCUUUGAUAGAGAACAAAGACAUCUGAAAUGUGCAUCUCUGCAUGCCAUUUGUGCAUACUAGAAUGUAUACACUAUACACAUGCACCGAAUACACACUCCCCCAUAAACAUUCAACUUGUCCCCCCUCCCCCCCUAUUUUGUUCCCAUGGCUAUGCAGGUACAGGCUUCUCAGGAUAAACGGAGUGUAAUCCAACAGCUGUGCAACAAAGCUCGUUUUCAUCCGUUUUUAAAAUCCUCUAUUAAUCCCUCGGCUUGCGUCCUGCACCGCCGCUCUGCUCAGCAGGUGAUCCCUUCCUUUAAACACCAGAAAUUAUUUUGGCUAUUUUCAGUCUCUGAGGCUUUUUUCUCCUCAUUCUCUGUGAACAUAGAUGGCAACAGAGAUUAUAUAAUUGGAGAGAGCGCCGUAUCAGCUGAUCUGGUCAGCCAACCCCUUGUCAGAAUCGGGUGAUCUUCACUCCAGAGUCGCCGACAAUGAGCCGGGACAUAGAGGGAUGGACCUGAGGGAGACAAACCGAUAGAGUGAUUAGUAUAAUACUUUAGAGAAGGGAACUAAAGAUAGGUAUUGUAAGUGUAUAAUGUGGUUAUUAAUAUACCAGAGAAAAG
Molecule: long non-coding RNA, 3882 nt
Organism: Oncorhynchus tshawytscha (Chinook salmon)
Lineage: Eukaryota; Metazoa; Chordata; Actinopteri; Salmoniformes; Salmonidae
Source: Ensembl